This 22-nucleotide ribosomal RNA is filed under the name Canavalia grandiflora. RNAcentral describes it as "partial large subunit ribosomal RNA". The record is from RNAcentral. Lineage: Eukaryota; Viridiplantae; Streptophyta; Magnoliopsida; Fabales; Fabaceae.
UGAGACCUCAGGUCAGACGGGA